GAUGAACGCUGGCGGCGUGCCUAAUACAUGCAAGUCGAGCGAACAGAUGAGGAGCUUGCUCCUCUGACGUUAGCGGCGGACGGGUGAGUAACACGUGGAUAACCUACCUAUAAGACUGGGAUAACUUCGGGAAACCGGAGCUAAUACCGGAUAAUAUAUUGAACCGCAUGGUUCAAUAGUGAAAGACGGUUUUGCUGUCACUUAUAGAUGGAUCCGCGCCGCAUUAGCUAGUUGGUAAGGUAACGGCUUACCAAGGCAACGAUGCGUAGCCGACCUGAGAGGGUGAUCGGCCACACUGGAACUGAGACACGGUCCAGACUCCUACGGGAGGCAGCAGUAGGGAAUCUUCCGCAAGGGGCGAAAGCCUGACGGAGCAACGCCGCGUGGGUGAUGAAGGUCUUCGGAUCGUAAAACUCUGUUAUUAGGGAAGAACAAAUGUGUAAGUAACUAUGCACGUCUGGACGGUACCAAAUCAGAAAGCCACGGCUAACUACGU
This 496-nucleotide ribosomal RNA is filed under the name uncultured bacterium. Its description in RNAcentral is "partial 16S ribosomal RNA". It matches the Rfam family "Bacterial small subunit ribosomal RNA", at positions 28 to 506 of the family's 1533-position model. The record is from RNAcentral.